UCCCUGCUGGUUCACUGGUUAGGACUCCAUGCUUUCACUGUGGAGGACACGGGUUCAAUUCCUGCUCAGGGAA
RNAcentral lists this transfer RNA (73 nucleotides) under Ovis aries (sheep). It matches the Rfam family "tRNA". Rfam says of the family: Transfer RNA (tRNA) molecules are approximately 80 nucleotides in length. Their secondary structure includes four short double-helical elements and three loops (D, anti-codon, and T loops). Lineage: Eukaryota; Metazoa; Chordata; Mammalia; Artiodactyla; Bovidae. The record is from Rfam by way of RNAcentral.